GAAUCAUGGCUCAGGACGAACGCUGGCGGCGUGCUUAACACAUGCAAGUCGAACGAUGAAGGAAGAAGCUUGCUUCUUCUGGAUUAGUGGCGAACGGGUGAGUAACACGUGAGCAAUCUGCCCUUGACUCUGGGAUAAGCGUUGGAAACGACGUCUAAUACCGGAUACGACCCUCGGAGGCAUCUCCUGGGGGUGGAAAGAAUUUUGGUCAAGGAUGAGCUCGCGGCCUAUCAGCUAGUUGGUGAGGUAAUGGCUCACCAAGGCGACGACGGGUAGCCGGCCAGAGAGGGUGACCGGCCACACUGGGACUGAGACACGGCCCAGACUCCUACGGGAGGCAGCAGUGGGGAAUAUUGCACAAUGGGCGAAAGCCUGAUGCAGCAACGCCGCGUGAGGGAUGACGGCCUUCGGGUUGUAAACCUCUUUUAGUAGGGAAGAAGCGAAAGUGACGGUACCUGCAGAAAAAGCACCGGCUAACUACGUGCCAGCAGCCGCGGUAAUACGUAGGGUGCAAGCGUUGUCCGGAAUUAUUGGGCGUAAAGAGCUCGUAGGCGGUUUGUCGCGUCUGCUGUGAAAUCUGGGGGCUCAACCCCCAGCCUGCAGUGGGUACGGGCAGACUAGAGUGCGGUAGGGGAGAUUGGAAUUCCUGGUGUAGCGGUGGAAUGCGCAGAUAUCAGGAGGAACACCGAUGGCGAAGGCAGAUCU
Molecule: ribosomal RNA, 705 nt
Filed under: Leifsonia sp.
Lineage: Bacteria; Bacillati; Actinomycetota; Actinomycetes; Micrococcales; Microbacteriaceae
Description: bacterial SSU rRNA
Rfam family: Bacterial small subunit ribosomal RNA
Source: RNAcentral